CGCGGGCCGGCGCUCCGGGCCGGAGCGCGUCGCGGUGCUGGGCGUCACGGCGGAGCAGCGGACGGGCGCGGCGUCCCUGCGUCUUCGCUGCUGCGCGACAGGCAGCUUGGCGGUUGGGCGCGCCUGGGGCUCAGAGGUGGCUGCUGCGCCGGCGCAGUCAGAUCUGGCGCAGGCGGCGCGGGCCGCGGGCGGCGCAGGCUGCGGGCGUCCACCCCAUGGCUUGGCCCUGGCCGGUGGUGGUGGAGGCGCAGCAGAGGCGGGCUGGUUGGCGUGCUAGCCGGACUCCAGCUGAUUCUGGCGGUUGGACGGCGGCGAGCAGCGCGGGUUAACUCCCUGGGUGCCAAAACCAUGGAGGCUGCGGAACUACUGCUCCCGCCCCUGUCCAUCCGCGACCGGCUAAGGUCAAUGCGAAGCGUGACUUCCAUCGUCUGGGGCGGAGGAGCUGGAGACCUCCUUGACGAGUGCCGCCCAGUCGAUUGGGUCGGAUUCCUUGCUGGAUCUGCUGCUGGAGCAGGCAAUGGUGGAGGGGAGGGGACGAGAGGGGAGGAGAUGGGCAGUGAAGACGGAGCGGUCAAGAAGAGCAAGGACUUUGACUAGGGUUUGAUCUAGGUUGGGUAUUUGUGGGGACAAGGUGCAGGGGGAGCGCAGGAUGGCUGUUAUAUCCUUGGUUGCUUGGCAUGGCAAGAAGCCAAAAUCUGUAGUUGGUCUACAAGCAUCUAAGCCAAAAUCUAUUAUGAAGGUUUGUAAGGGUGCUAAUAAGGACCAAUCUGUUUAUUUCUCUGAGGCGGUUGAAGAUAUCGACAGAUGAUUUGAAGUGAAGAUGAUCUACCAAGAAUUAGCGACGAUCAGAGAUCAUGGGCGUCCAAAGGAAAUACUGCUUGCUUUUUCUAACAAGUAUUAAUCAUAUUUGUAAAGCUCUUUAUUUGAACUUUGUUGUUGUAAUUAAUACUAUUGAGGAUGGAUGCAUGAGAAGUAGUGGUCAUGCUGUUAGACAAAAUUAUACCGAGAACUUGAGUGAAGGAACAGCCAAUUGGCCGAUAACAUGCCCAAUUGCAAUGCGAGACUUAUAUUUAAGACAA
Triticum aestivum (bread wheat) is the source of this 1079-nucleotide long non-coding RNA. RefSeq lists it as uncharacterized. The transcript is spliced from 4 exons. The record is from RefSeq and is a predicted model, not a curated record. NCBI's taxonomy places the organism in Eukaryota, Viridiplantae, Streptophyta, Magnoliopsida, Poales, Poaceae.